RNAcentral lists this ribosomal RNA (2325 nucleotides) under Triticum aestivum (bread wheat). Its description in RNAcentral is "partial small subunit ribosomal RNA". Lineage: Eukaryota; Viridiplantae; Streptophyta; Magnoliopsida; Poales; Poaceae. The record is from RNAcentral.
AUGGGGAAGGCGAACGGCGUCGGCGUCGGCGGCGCCGUCGACGCGGAUGUGUCGGCGGUUGGGGCGCUGGUGUGGGUGCGCCGCCCCAACGGGUCGUGGUGGCCCGGCAGGGUGGCCUCGCGCCUCGAGCUCCCCGACGGCUGCCCCGCGCCGCCCCGCUCGCCGGCCACCCCCAUCCUGCUCCUCGGCCGCCGCGACGGCCCCGCCUUAGUCGAGUGGUGCAACCUGGAGAGGAGCAAGCGCGUGAAGCCCUUCCGAUGCGGGGAGGCGGACCUGGACGACCUCAUCCGCAGGGCCGAGGAGCAGGCGGCGCGCCGCCGCAGGGCCAGCGCCGCCAGGAACGCCCGCAAGGAGGACGCCGUGCUCCAGGCCCUCGACAUCGAGCGGGCCCGCCUCCGCCUCCGCCCCAGGCCACCAAGCACCACCCCCUCCUGCCCGCCGCCGCCGCCGCCGCCGCCGCCGCCCAGGAAGCGCAAGACGCCCAACGACUCCGAGGACGACGCGCCCGCCGCCAGGCGCAUGAGGGACCUCACCGACAUCGGAUCCCCCACGAAGCCCACCACCGGCCAGAUGACAAGGAGCAGGCAGGCUCACCACGAUGCCGCCGCCGCCGCCGCCGCCAAGAGGAGCAAGCUGCCUCCUACCGUGGACCAGGUGGACAACAACCUGCCCUGCGGGGCCUUGAGGAAGAAGGACAGGUCCCGCCCGCUCUCAGAGCUCUGCAACGGGGUCAAGCCCAGCAAUGGCUUGGAUACGACGCUGGAUAAGUUCAAGCCGGAGCAAACAAAUGGUGUCAGCGGAGCCUCCUGCGUCCCGAGGCCACUCGAUGAUGCGUUCCCCCGUGGUCCUGGGGAUCAACCUGUCAAUGCCCCCAUAGUCGCCGCCGCCGCUGCCGCCGCCACGAGCAUCUUGAAAGCAGAUCAUUUGCACGCCCACCAACCAUGUGCCCCAACGAAGGCUCCUCCUACCUUGGAAUGCACCAAGCGGGCUUCGAACUGCAGCAAAGAUGGCAUGUCUUUGCAAUGUGACAGCAGAAAUCCCAAGAAGAAAACCAUGAGCUCUGCUGAGCAUGAGGGCGGCGGCAGGACCAGGAGAAGGACAACGAAGCACAAAGCGGCACCAAUCAACGAGGUUAUCCUUUUGAAGAGAAGGACGGUGAAGAGUGCCGCCGCACCUGAUGAGGAUGAUAAAAGCCUUGUUGCGAUGCUCCCUGAUGCUCUUGUCCAUGCGGCUCUGCGGCAGCGGUCUGAAAUCAAGUGCGAGCCUGAAGAGCCCUCUGGAACUAUAGGCAGGCAUCAUUCAAACGGCAAGACCGGUUCAGUACCACCUGUGGUGUCGAAGCCGGUGCUGCCCCAGCGCAGAGAUCUUAGAUGCCAUGUUGCUGUGAAGCCGACCAAGACCCUGCAGCUGAACCCGUCCCUGUACGACGUGGAAAUAAGCAGCGGGCCGGGAUGCGGCGGGGGCAGCAAGGGGCGGCACGUGCCCCUCGUGUCCCUGAUGAGCAGGUCGAGCAGGAGGCCCGUGGUUGGGUACCCGGUGUCCGUGGAGGUGCUGGAUGCCGCGUGCUGCCACCCUCCCGCCCCGAGCGUUGACGGGGUGCCGGACGCCGCCCGCCGCCACCCUCCUGCCCCGAGCGUCGACGGUGUACGGGACGCCGUGCGCUGCCACCCUCCUGCCCCGAGCGUCGCCGGGGUGCUGGACGCCACAUGCCGCCACCCACCUGCCCCGAGUGUCGACAGGGCGCCGGACGCCGCGCGCCGUCACCCUCCAGCCCCGAGCGUUGAUGGGGUACGGUACGCCGCGCGGCGCCACCCUCCCGCCCCGGGCGUCGGCGGCGUCGACCACCCGCCCUCCACGAGCAGCGGCGCCCACAGGCUAGUGAAGGUGAAGGAGGAGGUGGAGGAGGAAGCCCCGCAGCGCGCUGUGCCGGCGUCGGCGCAGAGGGCGCGGGCGAGGCACAGCCGCCGGAAGGCCUCGGAGGACGAGCUGUGGCGGCCGCACAGCAAGGAGGAGGAGGUAGGUGCGGCCCCGCGGCCAGCGCGGGCGAGGAGGAGCGUGCGCAGGAAGGUGGCGUCGGAGGACGACGAGUUGUGGCGGCCGCACAGCAAGAAGCCGGCUGUGGCGGUGGCGUCCCCAAGGAAGAUGCGGAGGCUGUCGUCCCUGGGCGCUCCGAGCCAGCGAGGAGGGGGUGAGGAGGCGAGGAGGAGGAGGAGUAAGGGGCCGGGGGCGGGGCAGCUGGUGGUGGCGUGCGUGCCGGUGCGCGUGGUGUUCAGCCGGAUCAAGGAGGCGCUGCUGAGCCAGCCGCUCAAGUUGAAAUCAAAAUGA